AUUGUUGUUGCCUUUACAAAACACGACCCGUGCACAUGUAAUGCAAAGCUGCUGAGGAGGAACGUUCUCCUCAGCCCAACCGGCCUCGACCUCCUGUCUUCCCGGACAUGUAGGUUGGGGCAUCGGAAAACGGCGCGGAAUGUCGCCAAGGAAUAUUAGAUUGCUGAGGCAGACGACCAGCCGCAAGGUGUUGCGCCGUCUGUUGAGGCCAAAACAAAAAAAACGAGAUGACUCCCGGCAACGGAUAUCUCGGCUCUCGCAUCGAUGAAGAACGUAGCGAAAUGCGAUACGUGGUGUGAAUUGCAGAAUCCCGUGAACCAUCGAGUCUUUGAACGCAAGUUGCGCCCGAGGGAUCAUCCCGAGGGCACGCCUGCCUCAUGGGCGUAAGAAGCCCAUCCACGCUCAGGCACCUUCAGGGUGUACCUGAUGCGGACAUUGGCCCUCCGAGCCGCAAGGUUGCGACGGGCUCAAGUAUAAUGGCUAUCGGCUGAGAAGAGCGACGAGUGGUGGGCUACAGGCUAGCGUUUACCGCACUCGAACCUCAGAAUGAUGUUGCCUUUGUUGACCCCGAACGAACAUCACGCCGCUGCACCAUUAUGCAGUGCGGCAUGUUCGGACCGAUACCCCAGGUCAGG
Molecule: small RNA, 635 nt
Filed under: Fimbristylis insignis
Lineage: Eukaryota; Viridiplantae; Streptophyta; Magnoliopsida; Poales; Cyperaceae
Description: eukaryotic LSU rRNA
Rfam family: 5.8S ribosomal RNA (bases 230-384)
Source: RNAcentral